This 401-nucleotide ribosomal RNA is filed under the name uncultured bacterium. Its description in RNAcentral is "bacterial SSU rRNA". It matches the Rfam family "Bacterial small subunit ribosomal RNA", at positions 356 to 774 of the family's 1533-position model. The record is from RNAcentral.
GGGGAAUAUUGGACAAUGGGCGCAAGCCUGAUCCAGCCAUGCCGCGUGAGUGAUGAAGGCCCUAGGGUUGUAAAGCUCUUUCACCGGUGAAGAUAAUGACGGUAACCGGAGAAGAAGCCCCGGCUAACUUCGUGCCAGCAGCCGCGGUAAUACGAAGGGGGCUAGCGUUGUUCGGAAUUACUGGGCGUAAAGAGUGCGUAGGCGGUUUUCUAAGUUCGGUGUGAAAUCUCCCGGCUUAACUGGGAGGGUGCGCCGAAGACUGGGAAGCUGGAGUGUGGGAAAGGCAGGCGGAAGUCCUGGUGUAGCGGUGAAAUGCGUAGAUAUCAGGAGGAACACCGGCGGUGUAGACGGCUUGCUAGACCAUAACUGACGCUGAGGCACGAAAGCGUUGGUAGCAAACA